This 304-nucleotide ribosomal RNA is filed under the name uncultured cyanobacterium. Its description in RNAcentral is "SSU rRNA". It matches the Rfam family "Bacterial small subunit ribosomal RNA", at positions 376 to 695 of the family's 1533-position model. The record is from RNAcentral. Lineage: Bacteria; Bacillati; Cyanobacteriota.
CGAAAGCCUGACGGAGCAAUACCGCGUGAGGGAGGAAGGCUCUUGGGUUGUAAACCUCUUUUCUCAGGGAAGAAGUUCUGACGGUACUUGAGGAAUAAGCCACGGCUAAUUCCGUGCCAGCAGCCGCGGUAAUACGGGAGUGGCAAGCGUUAUCCGGAAUUAUUGGGCGUAAAGCGUCCGCAGGCGGCUUUUCAAGUCUGCUGUUAAAGCGUGGAGCUUAACUCCAUCAUGGCAGUGGAAACUGAAAGGCUUGAGUAUGGUAGGGGCAGAGGGAAUUCCCGGUGUAGCGGUGAAAUGCGUAGAU